GAAAUCACGAUUUUUGGACUUAUAAUAUUCACACAAAAGAAGUUAUGCAUAUUACUAUGGAAAGUCUCUAAAUAGUACAAGGACCUAAAACAGGGCCACUAGUCAGGACUAACCAGGUUUAAAAGUUGGAAACAUUUGAAAAAGAGUAGUCCUAAUUGUGACUAUUCCUUCAAAUUUUCUGUCAAAGAUGACAACUAGACAAGAAGACGCGAUAGAACAUCAAUGAUAGAACCCGAAUGAACUAUGAGCAAUGAUACCUUAAGCUUUUAAAAAGGGAAUUACUAUCAUGACAUUUCUACAUUCAUAAUCAUUCAUUUAGUUAGGAGCACUUGAUUCACUUCGAUCAUGGCAUUCUAAUUAUUUGACAUAAGCACCACAUCUAGUUAGAAGCAUUUGACUCAUUUUGAGCAUGGCAUCCUAAUUAUUUGGCACAAUCAUAGAUACGGAAAACCAAUUCUACAAAUCAUGUCCUCAGAAGACGGUGUAGCAACAUUGGUGAAUUCUACAGAUCUUGUCUUCCUGAAGUUGCAGUGAAGCAGAUUUAAGCCACCAUCCUAGCUCCCUAAAGUUGUAGUGGAGUAGGCUGAAACUGUAGAUCUCGUUUCCCUGAAGUUGCAGUGGACUAGAUCGAAAGCGGUGAAUCAUGUCUUCCUGAAGUUGUAGUGAAGUAGAUUUAAGCCAUCAUCCUAUCUCCCUAAAGUUGUAGUUGAGUAGGCUGGAGAUUGCAGAUCUCGUCUCCAGUGGAGCAGAUCGAAGAAAAUGAGCCUUAACCCCCUAAGUAGUAGGGCAACAGGUCGAAAAUUGCAAAAUCUUGUCUCCCUGAGGUUGCAGUGGAGCAGAUCAAAGUCACAAUCCUUAUCUCUCUGAAGUUACAGUAGGGCAGGAUAAAAACACGUGAACCAUGUUUCCCUGAAGUUGCAGUAGAGCAUACUGAAGCUACCUGAAGAAAAGAAGCACCAAAAAAGUCAUGAUUCCGUGAAACCGAGAAAAAUUGGCCUUCUUUGAAGUCUUUGCUCUAUUCUCGUUACACGAUAAUGAGUAAAGUGGGGCAGCUGUAAACGGGUCAAUUUGCCCGGUCCCACGUCAGAACCAAAAUACAAAAUAAAGAAACAAAAAAACCAAUAAUUAAUUAAAUGUCCUGUUACAGUCCAAAGCCCAAAAUUAAUUCAAGACCUUAAAACCCAAAUAACCCCAAAUUAAAGACCCAAAUAUCCUACAGUCCAAUACUUAAUCCCAAUUACAUGACCCUAUAACUAAUACCCUAGCCCAUUUACAAAACAAUCCAAAGCCUCAAGGCCCACACAGCCCAAAAACUAAAACUGCUUCAGCAACCCUAUGUCACCCCUCCCUCCUUUGCGCUGUAGCCGAGCCCCUCAGCGCCGUACGCUCCGUACCGUCAGCAGCCACGCCCGCGCCAGCACAACUUCUGUACGAUGCCAACCCACACCCCGUGCCUGCUAGUAAGCCAAAACAACAGCAGCAACACGAAAACAAAAGGAAAAAUUGUAUUUUUUACUUUUUUUUGGAACAUUCGGCUAUAAAAGCCUACUAUCUUCGAUUGUAAAGUUUUUUUCAGAGGAAUACACACACAUUUUUGCAUAUUGAAUACAAAGAAAAGAAAUCAAAACCUUGAAAAGGUGAUUAUUCGGCUUUGGCCCUUCUUUCCUGUUUGUUUUCAUCUUCUUUUCUUAUUGUUUGGUUGCACAUACUGUCAUUUUGAGCAUAAAAAGGGGUAAAAGGAAGCAAAGGGGUUACUUAUAAGCACGAACCGCCGGGACGGGGUGUAAGGGCUGAAAUCGAAAGUCCUUAAAGUAAGGACCCAAGCAGGGUCAGCGAGAGUACAAAUCUCCCUCCGUCGAUCACCGUUCAGGGUGGUCAAGUGGCGGCUAGGACCUCUUGAGAUUCGAACAGAAGGGGGGGAUUAGGUUUCGGCUGAGGAGAAAGGAUUGGGGGGCUAGGGUUUGAAUGACUGUUUCAGUUUCAGCUCUUUUAAAG
Molecule: long non-coding RNA, 1995 nt
Filed under: Gossypium barbadense (sea-island cotton)
Lineage: Eukaryota; Viridiplantae; Streptophyta; Magnoliopsida; Malvales; Malvaceae
Description: long non-coding RNA (GBAR_LNC008979)
Source: RNAcentral